GAAGAGUUAGUUAAAUACAUAACAUCAGAAUGUCAAACUGAAGUAAUCAAUAAGAUACCCUUCU
This 64-nucleotide transfer RNA is filed under the name Spinitermes sp. A TB-2017. RNAcentral's name for it is "tRNA-Asp". The record is from RNAcentral. Lineage: Eukaryota; Metazoa; Arthropoda; Insecta; Blattodea; Termitidae.